GACGAACGCUGGCGGCGUGCUUAACACAUGCAAGUCGAACGGAAAGGCCCUGCUUUUGUGGGGUGCUCGAGUGGCGAACGGGUGAGUAACACGUGAGUAACCUGCCCUUGACUUUGGGAUAACUUCAGGAAACUGGGGCUAAUACCGGAUAGGAGCUCCUGCUGCAUGGUGGGGGUUGGAAAGUUUCGGCGGUUGGGGAUGGACUCGCGGCUUAUCAGCUUGUUGGUGGGGUAGUGGCUUACCAAGGCUUUGACGGGUAGCCGGCCUGAGAGGGUGACCGGGCACAGUGGGACGGAGAGACGGCCGAGACGCCGACGGGAGGCAGAAGUGGGGAAUAUGGCAGAAGGGGCGGAGGCAGGAUGCAGCAACGGCGCGUGCGGGAUGACGGCAUUCGGGUUGUAAAAAGGUGUCGCCUGUGACGAAGAGUGAGUGAGGGUAAUGGGUAAAGAAGCAAAGGCUAACUACGUG
RNAcentral lists this ribosomal RNA (468 nucleotides) under uncultured bacterium. RNAcentral describes it as "partial 16S ribosomal RNA". It matches the Rfam family "Bacterial small subunit ribosomal RNA", at positions 28 to 507 of the family's 1533-position model. The record is from RNAcentral.